This 64-nucleotide transfer RNA is filed under the name Lomis hirta. RNAcentral's name for it is "tRNA-Asn". The record is from RNAcentral. Lineage: Eukaryota; Metazoa; Arthropoda; Malacostraca; Decapoda; Lomidae.
UUAAAAGAAGCCAAAAAGAGGCAUAUCACUGUUAAUGAUAGAAAUGAAGUUUUUUCCUUUUAAG